This 28-nucleotide small RNA is filed under the name Bombyx mori (domestic silkworm). RNAcentral describes it as "ovarian small RNA-21610". The record is from RNAcentral. Lineage: Eukaryota; Metazoa; Arthropoda; Insecta; Lepidoptera; Bombycidae.
UACUUCAGAAUAUACAGCCGUUAAUUAA